RNAcentral lists this unclassified non-coding RNA (333 nucleotides) under soil metagenome. RNAcentral's name for it is "partial contains 5.8S ribosomal RNA, internal transcribed spacer 2, and large subunit ribosomal RNA". The stretch from base 1 to 120 matches the Rfam family "5.8S ribosomal RNA", at positions 35 to 154 of the family's 154-position model. The record is from RNAcentral.
GAUGAAGAACGUAGCGAAAUGCGAUAAGUAGUGUGAAUUGCAGAAUUCAGUGAAUCAUCGAAUCUUUGAACGCACAUUGCGCCCUUUGGUAUUCCUUAGGGCAUGCCUGUUCGAGCGUCAUUUAAACCUUCAAGCUAAGCUUGGUGUUGGGUGACUGUCCGCUUCACGGCGGACUCGCCUCAAAAUUAUUGGCGGCCGGUACAUUGGCUUCGAGCGCAGCAGAAACGCGAACUCGGGCCCGUCGUAUUGGCUCCCAGAAGCUAUCUUCACAAUUUUGACCUCGGAUCAGGUAGGGAUACCCGCUGAACUUAAGCAUAUCAAUUAAGCGGAGGA